RNAcentral lists this ribosomal RNA (422 nucleotides) under uncultured bacterium. Its description in RNAcentral is "bacterial SSU rRNA". It matches the Rfam family "Bacterial small subunit ribosomal RNA", at positions 355 to 774 of the family's 1533-position model. The record is from RNAcentral.
UGAGGAAUAUUGGACAAUGGGCGCAAGCCUGAUCCAGCCAUGCCGCGUGCAGGAAGAAGCACCUCUGGUGUGUAAACUGCUUUUGUACGGGAAGAAACACUCCUUCGUGAAGGAGCUUGACGGUACCGUAAGAAUAAGGAUCGGCUAACUCCGUGCCAGCAGCCGCGGUAAUACGGAGGCUCCAAGCGUUAUCCGGAAUCAUUGGGUUUAAAGGGUCCGUAGGCGGUUUAGUAAGUCAGUGGUGAAAGCCCAUCGCUCAACGAUGGAACGGCCAUUGAUACUGCUAGACUUGAAUUAUUAGGAAGUAACUAGAGUAUGUAGUGUAGCGGUGAGAUGCUUAGAUAUUACAUGGAGUACCAAUUGCGAAGGCAGGUUACUACUGAUGGAUUGACGCUGAUGGACGGAAGAGUGGGGGGCGAACA